This 205-nucleotide ribosomal RNA is filed under the name uncultured Peptoniphilus sp. Its description in RNAcentral is "partial 16S ribosomal RNA". It matches the Rfam family "Bacterial small subunit ribosomal RNA", at positions 157 to 355 of the family's 1533-position model. The record is from RNAcentral. Lineage: Bacteria; Bacillati; Bacillota; Tissierellia; Tissierellales; Peptoniphilaceae.
CCGGGAUUAAAACCUGAUGAAACUAAUCAAAUCACAUGAUUAAGAAAGUUAAAAACUCCGGUGGUAAAAAGAUGGACUCGCGUCCCAUUAGCUAGUUGGUGAAGGUAACGGCCCACCAAGGCAACGAUGGGUAGCCGGCCUGAGAGGGUGAACGGCCACAUUGGAACUGAGAAAACGGUCCAAACUCCUACGGGAGGCAGCAGUU